RNAcentral lists this ribosomal RNA (696 nucleotides) under uncultured bacterium. RNAcentral describes it as "bacterial SSU rRNA". It matches the Rfam family "Bacterial small subunit ribosomal RNA", at positions 32 to 715 of the family's 1533-position model. The record is from RNAcentral.
AACGCUAGCUACAGGCUUAACACAUGCAAGUCGAGGGGAAACGACAUCGAAAGCUUGCUUUUGAUGGGCGUCGACCGGCGCACGGGUGAGUAACGCGUAUCCAACCUGCCCACCACUUGGGAAUAACCUUGCGAAAGUAAGACUAAUACCCAAUGAUAUCUCUAGAAGACAUCUGAAAGAGAUUAAAGAUUUAUCGGUGUACGAUGGGGAUGCGUUCCAUUAGGUAGUAGGCGGGGUAACGGCCCACCUAGCCUACGAUGGAUAGGGGUUCUGAGAGGAAGGUCCCCCACAUUGGAACUGAGACACGGUCCAAACUCCUACGGGAGGCAGCAGUGAGGAAUAUUGGUCAAUGGACGAGAGUCUGAACCAGCCAAGUAGCGUGAAGGAUGAAGGUCCUACGGAUUGUAAACUUCUUUUAUAAGGGAAUAAAACCUCCCACGUGUGGGAGCUUGUAUGUACCUUAUGAAUAAGCAUCGGCUAACUCCGUGCCAGCAGCCGCGGUAAUACGGAGGAUGCGAGCGUUAUCCGGAUUUAUUGGGUUUAAAGGGAGCGCAGACGGGUCGUUAAGUCAGCUGUGAAAGUUUGGGGCUCAACCUUAAAAUUGCAGUUGAUACUGGCGUCCUUGAGUGCGGUUGAGGUGUGCGGAAUUCGUGGUGUAGCGGUGAAAUGCUUAGAUAUCACGAAGAACUCCGAUUG